RNAcentral lists this ribosomal RNA (405 nucleotides) under uncultured bacterium. RNAcentral describes it as "bacterial SSU rRNA". It matches the Rfam family "Bacterial small subunit ribosomal RNA", at positions 8 to 443 of the family's 1533-position model. The record is from RNAcentral.
AGAGUUUGAUCCUGGCUCAGAACGAACGCUGGCGGCAGGCUUAACACAUGCAAGUCGAACGCACCUUCGGGUGAGUGGCGCACGGGUGAGUAACGCGUGGGAAUGUACCGUUUAGUACGGAAUAGCUCCGGGAAACUGGAAUUAAUACCGUAUACGCCCUUCGGGGGAAAGAUUUAUCGCUAAACGAUCAGCCCGCGUGAGAUUAGGUAGUUGGUGGGGUAAUGGCCUACCAAGCCUACGAUCUCUAGCUGGUCUGAGAGGAUGAUCAGCCACACUGGAACUGAGACACGGUCCAGACUCCUACGGGAGGCAGCAGUGGGGAAUAUUGGACAAUGGGGGAAACCCUGAUCCAGCCAUGCCGCGUGAGUGAUGAAGGCCUUAGGGUUGUAAAGCUCUUUUACCGAU